Daucus carota subsp. sativus is the source of this 852-nucleotide long non-coding RNA. RefSeq lists it as uncharacterized. The transcript has 2 exons. The record is from RefSeq and is a predicted model, not a curated record. Lineage: Eukaryota; Viridiplantae; Streptophyta; Magnoliopsida; Apiales; Apiaceae.
AUAGCAGGCCACAGGAAACUACAAGGCAACUUCUUCCCACAAAAAAUUGUACAUAUAAACGCCUGCAUCUUAUACAGCUCUCUAAUCAUAGCUGGGGAACAAACACUUCUCUCUGCUAUGCAGAAGAGAUAGUGGAGCGGAUUAUGCGUGAUCGUAUAAUCCGCUCCACUAUCCUGUUGCGCUAGAAAAUUUAGAUUUCUUAGAGUAUAUAAAAAAAAUCCUCUUCUGCAUAACACGAAUGAAGUACAGAUAAGAAUAUUGAUAGAUAGGUUAAUGAAGAGAAUAAUGCUAGUGCAUCUGAUAUCGCGAGAUUAAAAAGAUUGUAUCGUCGAAGAACAGUGGUUUGCCAUCGUCAUUGUUUCCACCUGGCAUUGUAAAUCUGGAUGCAAAUGUUAUCGUCGCACAAUAAGAGCAGCUACAACGAUGGCCGAUGAUUGACUGAAUACUUUUGGAGCCUCCCUAGUUUUGCAACAAUGGCAUAAAGAAGCCUCGACUGAAGCUGACAAUAUGCCAAGACGGGUAGUACCUGGAAAACACGACGAGCUACUCAAAGAAACACAACAAUGGCUGAAGGGCAGAUCAUUAUCAGCCGUUGUUGUAGCUGCUUAUAUUGUGGCCAUGAUAUAUGCAACCAGAUUUGCAAUCCAGGUGGAAACAAUGAGUGACAACAAGCCACUGUUCUUACACAAUGCAGUCUUUAUGUUCUUCGCCAUAUGAGAUGAAGUAGCAUUAUUAUCUUCAUAAGCCUCUGUAUUAAUUUUCUUAUCUCGUGUUUUGUAGAAGACGAUUUCUUUUAUGUUUUACCAAAUGUUUAAGCAAUAUGAGAAAUUUUAGGGUAUUUCUUGACCAAAA